UUCGGGUUGUAAAGCUCUUUCGGCCGGGAAGAUAAUGACGGUACCUGAAGAAUAAGCUGCGGCUAACUACAUGCCACCAGCCGCGGUAAUACGUAGGGGGCAAGCGUUGUUCGGAGUUACUGGGCGUAAAGGGUGCGUAAGCGGCUUUCUAAGUUUGGUGUGAAAUCUCCCGGCUCAACUCGGAGGGUGCCCUGAAGACUGAGGGGCUUGAGUGUGGGAGAGGAGGUGGAAUUCCCGGUGUAGCGGUGAAAUGCGUAUAUAUCAGGAGGAACACCUGUGGUGUAAGCGGCUUUCUGGACCAUUACUGACGCUGAGGCACGAAAGCGUGGGGAGCAAACAGGAUUAAAUACCCUGGUAGUCCACGCCCUAAACGAUGCAUAUUUGGUGUGGGCCAUUCAUUUG
This 402-nucleotide ribosomal RNA is filed under the name uncultured bacterium. Its description in RNAcentral is "bacterial SSU rRNA". It matches the Rfam family "Bacterial small subunit ribosomal RNA", at positions 417 to 838 of the family's 1533-position model. The record is from RNAcentral.